This 195-nucleotide ribosomal RNA is filed under the name uncultured bacterium. Its description in RNAcentral is "partial 16S ribosomal RNA". It matches the Rfam family "Bacterial small subunit ribosomal RNA", at positions 326 to 539 of the family's 1533-position model. The record is from RNAcentral.
ACGCUCGACACCUACGGGCAGCAGUGGGGAAUAUUGCACAAUGGGGGAAACCCUGAUGCAGCGACGCCGCGUGAAGGAAGAAGUAUUUCGGUAUGUAAACUUCUAUCAGCAGGGAAGAAAAUGACGGUACCUGAGUAAGAAGCACCGGCUAAAUACGUGCCNGCAGCCGCGGUAAUCUGAGCGGGCUGGCAAGGC